ACUUUACUUCUUUGAUCCCUUUUUAUUGUCAAAGGGACUUGGUUCUGGUGGAUGAGGAGAGGUGGGGUGAACAUUAAACCGAUCUCUCCUCACUACUGAAAUUGAGAGGCAGUCGGCCCCCAUGCGUUGAGGCGUUGUAAAAUCUGCUAAUGCAUGUUUUCGCUGGCAUCCGCAUGGAAGAUUGGCUUGCCAUCUAGUUUGAAAAACCCUCAAUCAAUCAAU
This 222-nucleotide unclassified non-coding RNA is filed under the name uncultured Pyronemataceae. RNAcentral describes it as "sequence contains ITS2". Lineage: Eukaryota; Fungi; Ascomycota; Pezizomycetes; Pezizales; Pyronemataceae. The record is from RNAcentral.